Molecule: ribosomal RNA, 272 nt
Filed under: uncultured bacterium
Lineage: Bacteria
Description: partial 16S ribosomal RNA
Rfam family: Bacterial small subunit ribosomal RNA
Source: RNAcentral
ACGGGGGGGGCAAGCGUUGUUCGGAAUUACUGGGCGUAAAGGGCUCGUAGGUGGCCAAUUAAGUCAGACGUGAAAUCCCCAGGCUCAACUUGGGAACUGCGUCUGAUACUGGUUGGCUUGAAUUCGGGAGAGGGAUGCAGAAUUCCAGGUGUAGCGGUGAAAUGCGUAGAUAUCUGGAGGAAUACCGGUGGCGAAGGCGGCAUCCUGGACCGAGAUUGACACUGAUGAGCGAAAGCCAGGGGAGCAAACGGGAUUAGAAACCCCCGUAGUCC